Long non-coding RNA from Mugil cephalus (flathead mullet), 2410 nucleotides. RefSeq lists it as uncharacterized. The transcript is spliced from 4 exons. The record is from RefSeq and is a predicted model, not a curated record. Lineage: Eukaryota; Metazoa; Chordata; Actinopteri; Mugiliformes; Mugilidae.
GUUGCUGCCUUCUCUCUCUUUUUUUCCUGCUGUCAGCUAUUUCAGGCCUCCAGGGCUUUUUGUUCACUGUCAAUUAAAUAACUUUCCAGCCAAGCUGUUAGUCCAACAUUAAUUGAGUUCAGUCACUGUGUUUUGUUUUAAUGCAAGUAUGAAGCAAAAUUAAACAAAUGCAAAUUAAAUUAAAUACAUUAUAAAUAUGAAUUAUUUUUGUCCAUACAUGCUACUCCUAAGUAGAAAAUAGAGAUGAUAAACAACAUUUUCAAGUAACAGGACGAUUUUGUGCACACCGCCAAUGUUUUAUUUAUUUAUUUUAGACGUAUGACACGUAACUGUUUUUUUUUUUUUUUUUUUUUUUUUUAAUUCAGAAAUUCUAAGUCAUAAAUAAAGAACACCAAUAGUGAUAACAAUAGCAAAACUGAAAUUGCGGAAAUGAACGAAAGUAACAGCAAGAGCGGUUUAAAGCUACAGUGACAUUUACAUACAAAGAGUCCUGCUCUAUAUCAGCACUGGUUUAAAAUAACUGAGGGAGUUGUUGAUUCAACUGUGUUUUCAUUUCGGAGGCUGUGGUUUGUAGUAGUUUGUAAUGGAUUAUAUUGUGUUUUACUGACAAAAGUUGACAUUAUUUUACUCAGUGGGGUAGGCUGAAUAACAAAACAAAACAAAACAAAACAAAAAAAUGUUUUACAGCACCACAAAUCAUCUAAAAAAUAAUCAUACAGUUGAAUUACCACCUUUCUGGCGCUGUUUCAACACAAACUUCACAUCGUAACAUUCGUGAAGGGGGAUUUAGUGCAGGACUGAAUUUGUACGCUCAGGUAACUAAUGACUUGGCAAGUGAGUGCAAAUGUACUUCGCCUCCAGCAUUACUGAGUGCAGUUAGUCUGUAACUUCAAAUCAGAUAUCAUAGCCAUGUUUUUUUCUUUUCUUUUAUUAAAUCUUCACCCGGCCUGAUAUCUAAAUUACUCACUUUUGAUCAUGUUCAAAUUUGGAAAGUCUUCAACAUCACUUUUACAACACUGUAAUGCAGAAAUUAUUUUUCCUCCCUUUAUAAACCAACAGUGCGCGUGCUCGUUAUUUCUUCAAAUUAGCGCGAGACCUUGUUUUGCGGCGACAACAAUACAACCAACUCCCGGAGGAUGGAAAAUUUUGACAAGUUUACAGAACAAGCUAGCUCCGCCUCCUGCGCUGAUCUGGAAAACGUACUUGGAGGGCUAGACUCUUUGUUGACCUGCAUGGAUCAACUGGCACGCAUAACGUUGUGGCCACCUGUGCCUCCAAAAAACUGUUGGAGCAGCCACCCCCCAGCUGCAUCCUGCUGGGGAUGGCUGCUGCGAUCAAGGAGUGUCAUUGCUGCAGGGUGGGGGUGCUUGGUCUGGUCUAGGUGGGUGGGAACAUGACUUAGUAACAUCAACACGAAUGCCAGGUCCAAAAGUUUCCCAGCAGUACAUUGUAUUGACACCAGUGUUUUUUUUUAUUUCUCCUGUCAGCGGUUUUAACGUGGCCAAUCGAAUUCUGGUGUUUUCUUAAUGUACUGGUUCGAUAUGUAAUAUUCUAAUACAACACAUAAAACCCCAUAAACAAGAAAUCUUAACAAUUUUAGAGAAAAUGAUUUGGCAGGUGAUUAAAUGCUUUUGCUUUCUGGCUUUUCGCAGUUGGUAAUGAAUUCAGCAUGCACACUGACAUCUUUGUGUGAAUUAGUUUGUAUUGUGAAAUCGGGACACAUUAAGAUACUUUAUUUUCAGUCACAGUGAAGUACUAGUACUGGUUGGCAAUAACAUGAGAAAACAGAAAGGAACACAGUAUAUACUGUUCAAUUUUUCCAUCCAGACUUUGUAGUCUCAUGUGUAAAAAUUGUUGGUCUGGUCCUGAGGCAGUUAUAAACAAGGUACAUACUCUCUUUCUACAGUGCGGACCCAUCUGAAACAAUGUGAUCUAAUCGUUUGUAUUGGCCACCCUGACAAGCUGGCGUCCCUCAAAACCCAGGAGGCAGAGGAGCAUCGGUCCACGGCUUGAACGGAAGUGGAUGUAAGAAGAGUGGAGAAAGAGAAGGAUGAGAGUAGUGACACUGAAAGAUGCACCACCUGACCUUGUUCACCAAUCUAAUCGCAGCUUCAGCUUGCUGCCUGGUCACCUUUCCUCCGUACCAGCUGGGGUCCAAAGUCUGGAUUCGCCGUAAUAGCACAGGCAUGUUAAUGGAGUGAAUCAGCAAAUUAUUUCUGCUCGGUUUCAGCUGCUGUGACUCAUGUGUUUAUCAAGUUAGGACAGGUAAUGAAAUGAAUUACCCUCAAAAAUAAAAAGCAGUUUGUUGAGUUUUAGUAGGAGACGUUGUGUUCUUUUUUACAACACCGCCAUCUGCUGUUUCCCUUUUGCAAGUGCACUUGUGUAAUUAAACAGAUGUAUUGCACCCUGU